RNAcentral lists this ribosomal RNA (258 nucleotides) under uncultured bacterium. RNAcentral describes it as "partial small subunit ribosomal RNA". It matches the Rfam family "Bacterial small subunit ribosomal RNA", at positions 26 to 285 of the family's 1533-position model. The record is from RNAcentral.
AGGACGAACGCUGGCGGCGUGCUUAACACAUGCAAGUCGAGCGAGGCUCUUCCUUCGGGGAGAUGCCCUAGCGGCGAACGGGUGAGUAACACGUGGGCAACCUGCCCCUAACACUGGGAUAACUCCGGGAAACCGGGGCUAAUACCGGAUAUGACCUUUGAGGGCAUCCUCUUUGGUGUAAAGGAUUCUGGCUAGGGAUGGGCCCGCGGCCUAUCAGCUUGUUGGUGGGGUAACGGCCUACCAAGGCGACGACGGGUA